This 423-nucleotide ribosomal RNA is filed under the name Amanita rubescens. Its description in RNAcentral is "eukaryotic LSU rRNA". The stretch from base 96 to 249 matches the Rfam family "5.8S ribosomal RNA". The record is from RNAcentral. Lineage: Eukaryota; Fungi; Basidiomycota; Agaricomycetes; Agaricales; Amanitaceae.
AAGUCUGGGUGUCUAUGUGUUUUUUCACAUACACAAGUUAAAUGUCUAUAGAAUGAAAUUGUAGGCUUUUGUCAGCCUUUUAAAUGAUAAAAUACAACUUUCAACAACGGAUCUCUUGGCUCUCGCAUCGAUGAAGAACGCAGCGAAAUGCGAUAAGUAAUGUGAAUUGCAGAAUUCAGUGAAUCAUCGAAUCUUUGAACGCAUCUUGCGCUCCUUGGUAUUCCGAGGAGCAUGCCUGUUUGAGUGUCAUUAAAUAUCUCAAAAAGCUCGUGCUUUUUUGGCAUGGGAUUUUUGGACAUUGGGAGUUGCCGGCUGCUGAUAAAGUGGUGGGCUCUUCUGAAAAGCAUUAGUUGAGGAGCUUUGCACUCUAUUGGUGUGAUAAACUAUCUAUGCCAGGAGAAGCUUCAUGAUCCUCUGCUAUCU